This 460-nucleotide ribosomal RNA is filed under the name uncultured bacterium. RNAcentral describes it as "partial 16S ribosomal RNA". It matches the Rfam family "Bacterial small subunit ribosomal RNA", at positions 338 to 795 of the family's 1533-position model. The record is from RNAcentral.
CCUACGGGAGGCUGCAGUGAGGAAUAUUGGUCAAUGGACGAGAGCCUGAACCAGCCAAGUAGCGUGAAGGAUGACGGAUCUAUGGUUUGUAAACCUCUUUUAUAUGGGAAUAAAGUGCGGGACGUGUCCUGUUUUGUAUGUACCUUAUGAAUAAGGAUCGGCUAACUCCGUGCCAGCAGCCGCGGUAAUACGGAGGAUCCGAGCGUUAUCCGGAUUUAUUGGGUUUAAAGGGUGCGUAGGUGGACUGUUAAGUCAGUUGUGAAAGUUUGCGGCUCAACCGUAAAAUUGCCGUUGAAACUGGCGGGCUUGAGUAUGGUAGAGGUGGGCGGAAUGCGUGGUGUAGCGGUGAAAUGCUUAGAUAUCACGAAGAACCCCGAUUGCGAAGGCAGUUCGCUGGGCUGUAACUGACGCUGAGGCACGAAAGCGUGGGUAUCGAACAGGAUUAGAUACCCGUGUAGUC